UGCCUCAGUAACGGCGAGUGAAGCGGCAACAGCUCAAAUUUGAAAUCUGGCCCUCCCCGCGGGGGUCCGAGUUGUAAUUUACAGAGGAUGCUUUCGGCGAGGUGCCUUCCGAGUUCCCUGGAACGGGACGCCGCAGAGGGUGAGAGCCCCGUACGGUCUGGCGCCGAGCCUUCUGUAAAGCUCCUUCGAAGAGUCGAGUAGUUUGGGAAUGCUGCUCAAAACGGGAGGUAAACUCCUCCUAAAGCUAAAUACUGGCCAGAGACCGAUAGCGCACAAGUAGAGUGAUCGAAAGAUGAAAAGCACUUUGGAAAGAGAGUUAAACAGCACGUGAAAUUGUUGAAAGGGAAGCGCUCGCGGCCAGACCUGGGCCCGGUAGCUCAGCCGUCCCUCGGGGCGGUGCACUCUGCCGGUCCAGGCCAGCAUCGGUUCUCGGCGGGGGAGAAAGGCGGUGGGAACGUGGCUCCUAGGAGUGUUAUAGCCCGCCGCCAUGCCCCGUCGGGGACCGUGGUCCGCGCCCUAGUGGCAAGGAUGCUGGCGUAAUGGCCACCAGCGACCCGUCUUGAAACACGGACCAAGGAGUCAUCCUAGUAUGCGAGUGUUCGGGCGUCAAACCCCCUACGCGAAAUGAAAGUGAACGGAGGUGAGAGCUUCGGCGCAUCAUCGACCGAUCCUGAUGUCUUCGGAUGGAUUUGAGUAGGAGCAUACUGGGCUGUACCCGAAAGAAGGUGAACUAUGCUUGGAUAGGGUGAAGCCAGAGGAAACUCUGGUGGAGGCUCGCAGCGGUUCUGACGUGCAAAUCGAUCGUCAAAUCUGAGCAUGGGGGCGAAAGACUAAUCGAACCUUUUAGUAGCUGGUUUCCGCCGAAGUUUCCCUCAGGAUAGCAGUGCUGGUCUCAGUUUUAUGAGGUAAAGCGAAUGAUUAGGGACUCGGGGGCGAUUUUUAGCCUUCAUCCAUUCUCAAACUUUAAAUAUGUAAGAAGCCCUCGUUGCUUUAGUGAACGGGGGCA
RNAcentral lists this ribosomal RNA (1006 nucleotides) under Arenariomyces majusculus. RNAcentral describes it as "partial large subunit ribosomal RNA". It matches the Rfam family "Eukaryotic large subunit ribosomal RNA", at positions 76 to 1107 of the family's 3401-position model. The record is from RNAcentral. Lineage: Eukaryota; Fungi; Ascomycota; Sordariomycetes; Microascales; Halosphaeriaceae.